UACGUAGGGGGCAAGCGUUAUCCGGAAUUACUGGGCGUAAAGCGCACGCAGGCGGUUCGCCAAGUUUGGAGUGACAGUUGUCGGCUCAACCGACAAAGGACUUCAAAAACUGGUGAACUUGAGGACGAGAGAGGAACAUGGAACUCCAGGUGUAGUAGUGAAAUGCGUAGAUAUCUGGAAGAACACCAAUGGCGAAGGCAAUGUUCUGGCUCGUUUCUGACGCUCAGGUGCGAAAGCCAGGGGAGCGAACGGGAUUAGAUACCCCGGUAGUCCUGGCCGUAAACGAUGACCACUAGACGUGGGAGGUAUCGACCCCUUCCGUGUCGUAAGCUAACGCGAUAAGUGGUCCGCCUGAGGAGUACGGUCGCAAGAUUAAA
This 377-nucleotide ribosomal RNA is filed under the name uncultured bacterium. Its description in RNAcentral is "bacterial SSU rRNA". It matches the Rfam family "Bacterial small subunit ribosomal RNA", at positions 524 to 898 of the family's 1533-position model. The record is from RNAcentral.